Molecule: ribosomal RNA, 485 nt
Filed under: uncultured bacterium
Lineage: Bacteria
Description: partial 16S ribosomal RNA
Rfam family: Bacterial small subunit ribosomal RNA
Source: RNAcentral
AUUGAACGCUGGCGGCAUGCUUUACACAUGCAAGUCGAACGGCAGCGCGGGCUUCGGCCUGGCGGCGAGUGGCGAACGGGGGAGUAAUGCAUCGGAACGUGCCCAGUAGUGGGGGAUAGCCCGGCGAAAGCCGGAUUAAUACCGCAUACGACCUGAGGGUGAAAGCGGGGGACCGAAAGGCCUCGCGCAAUUGGAGCGGCCGAUGUCGGAUUGGCUAGUUGGUGGGGGAACGGCUCACCAAGGCGACGAUCCGUAGCCGGCCUGAGAGGACGACCGGCCAACUGGGGCCUGAGACCCGGCCCGGGCUCCUACGGGAGGCCGCCGUAGGGCUUCUUCGGCAAUGGCCGGGAGUCUGACCGAGCCACGCCGCGUGCGUGAAGACGGUUUUCGGAUCGUAAAGCUCUGUUGUAAGAGAAGACCGAGUGUGGGAGUGGAAAGUUCACACUGUGACGGUAUCUUACCAGAAAGGGACGGCUACCUACGUG